RNAcentral lists this ribosomal RNA (580 nucleotides) under Burkholderia ubonensis. RNAcentral's name for it is "bacterial SSU rRNA". It matches the Rfam family "Bacterial small subunit ribosomal RNA", at positions 1 to 574 of the family's 1533-position model. Lineage: Bacteria; Pseudomonadati; Pseudomonadota; Betaproteobacteria; Burkholderiales; Burkholderiaceae. The record is from RNAcentral.
UUGAACUGAAGAGUUUGAUCCUGGCUCAGAUUGAACGCUGGCGGCAUGCCUUACACAUGCAAGUCGAACGGCAGCACGGGCUUCGGCCUGGUGGCGAGUGGCGAACGGGUGAGUAAUACAUCGGAACAUGUCCUGUAGUGGGGGAUAGCCCGGCGAAAGCCGGAUUAAUACCGCAUACGAUCCACGGAUGAAAGCGGGGGACCUUCGGGCCUCGCGCUAUAGGGUUGGCCGAUGGCUGAUUAGCUAGUUGGUGGGGUAAAGGCCUACCAAGGCGACGAUCAGUAGCUGGUCUGAGAGGACGACCAGCCACACUGGGACUGAGACACGGCCCAGACUCCUACGGGAGGCAGCAGUGGGGAAUUUUGGACAAUGGGGGCAACCCUGAUCCAGCAAUGCCGCGUGUGUGAAGAAGGCCUUCGGGUUGUAAAGCACUUUUGUCCGGAAAGAAAUCCUUGGCUCUAAUACAGUCGGGGGAUGACGGUACCGGAAGAAUAAGCACCGGCUAACUACGUGCCAGCAGCCGCGGUAAUACGUAGGGUGCGAGCGUUAAUCGGAAUUACUGGGCGUAAAGCGUGCGCAG